AGGAAGUUACCUCCCUAGAAACACUAUCCCCAGCGACUCGAGUUCGCUUUGGAGAACCUUUUUUGUGGAAGGAUUAUUAAUCUUAUCCCAUGCCCUCUUUGUUGAAACGUGAAACAAUGAAGAAUUAUCCAUGGGAAAAGUGGUCGUAACAUCCAUAAAUUGAUCUACCUAGAGUGCAAAAGUAGAAGCCUUGACAACCAAAAUCGGAGCAAGGGAUGAAGCAAGAGUAGUGUUUGUCAGAAUAUGCACGACAACCCAAAUACCUUGUGCAUUUUC
Molecule: long non-coding RNA, 276 nt
Filed under: Lathyrus oleraceus (garden pea)
Lineage: Eukaryota; Viridiplantae; Streptophyta; Magnoliopsida; Fabales; Fabaceae
Description: Pisum sativum (pea) long non-coding RNA (PSAT_LNC004555)
Source: RNAcentral